UUGACCAGUUGGGUGAGGACCGACCCGGUGACGCUGGUGCCGGCGUUGGUCCUCGCCGCCAGUUCCCCGGCGAUCUUGGCGUCGUCGGGCGGU
RNAcentral lists this transfer RNA (93 nucleotides) under Actinoplanes ianthinogenes. RNAcentral's name for it is "tRNA-Thr". Lineage: Bacteria; Bacillati; Actinomycetota; Actinomycetes; Micromonosporales; Micromonosporaceae. The record is from RNAcentral.